UGCCGCCGCCGCCCGGGGACGCGGCGCCCGGGAGAUGCAGGUUUCAGCUGGGUACUGAUGGGUGUGAGCAGCAGAGAGUGCAGAGGAUUACCAUUGCCAUUUGAACCUGCCCAGGUGUAGUGCAUCUUCUCUGUAACUCAGGACUGUGAGAGAGCAGAUGGGAAGUACUUUUCUUUAGCUUCCCCUGUGAGCUCUACAUCUGGUCGCGCUUUUUCAACUGUGCCGUGGUUCCUAGGAAGGUGAAAGGGCGCCCCGUCCCGGCGGCCGGCUCGGCG
This is a long non-coding RNA of Lepidothrix coronata (blue-crowned manakin), 275 nucleotides long. RefSeq lists it as uncharacterized. The transcript has 3 exons. The record is from RefSeq and is a predicted model, not a curated record. Lineage: Eukaryota; Metazoa; Chordata; Aves; Passeriformes; Pipridae.